CGGUGGUUUUCUUGUCGUUGAAAAUGCACUUAUAGAUGGAUGUUAGGAAUCGUUUAUUUAUGAGGAAUGAGGGGAAAAGCUUUUCGGCAUAAAAACCCUGGUUGAAAUACAGUUGAUGAUGAUGUGUCGCUGGCUUGCCUAUCGGCAGCUAUCGAGGUUGCUGUUAAUCCAAAGCAGACUAUAAUUCUGACCACGUGGCCUUCUUCCUUUUGUCCCUUUGUUCCACUGAUGUAAUAGUAGCGCAGGAGUGUAGUUCUCUUCGACGUGAUCUCUCGCAGCUCUCGUGGUAGAAUAGCAUUUAAACGUGAAAGCACUCGGCUUUUAUAGAAAAAGACGAUGCAACGCGCGGACCAAUUACCGAAAAGUUAGGUAACGUAGCUGUCGAUGCAUAUGAUUGGACUAAUAGAAAUGGAGGGAGUACGCGUGCUAGAAGAACGAAAGCGCCCUGCAAGGAGCUCGCUGCGCUCCUUUGUUAUACCGUAACUAAGAUGUUUCUUUGUCGCGAUAUCUCGACACGCGUCGAUACGUCUCGAAACGUCCAGAUGAUUCUCACUCAUUCGCUUGCGUAGGAUUACGCAACA
This 581-nucleotide long non-coding RNA is filed under the name Polistes fuscatus (common paper wasp). RNAcentral describes it as "uncharacterized LOC122518939". The record is from RNAcentral. Lineage: Eukaryota; Metazoa; Arthropoda; Insecta; Hymenoptera; Vespidae.